Molecule: long non-coding RNA, 489 nt
Organism: Marmota monax (woodchuck)
Lineage: Eukaryota; Metazoa; Chordata; Mammalia; Rodentia; Sciuridae
Exons: 3
Source: RefSeq, a predicted model, not a curated record
AGGGGCUCUGGGGGGACAUGGAAGUGCUCCGGAUCGUGGUUCUGUGGUGGUGACGUGGGGGAGCACACUUGCCGGAAUCUGCUGGAUUGUGAGGCUCUCACUACGUUACUUAGGCCCUUGCUACACUGCCGAGGCUGGCCUUGAACCUGCGACCCUCCUGGACCGCUGGGAUUGCAGCUACUCCACCCUGCUGGGCUCUGUGGUGAUGAGCGUCCACCUCGGCCUUCACCACACAGAUGUCCGUGACGUCGAAUUGAAGCCAGAUUUGUUGGGAGUCACUCCAGCUCCAAAGACUGACUUCCCCAUCCCCCCCUCAGAGAGCUGUCCAAUGGUGAGCCCUGCUGACUCACGUGAUCCUCACCCACCAAUCAGAAAGCACCCCGUGCCAACUGUCAAACGGUUAAACUGUUAAACCGUCAUAACUGUCAGUCCACCCCCGGCUCUAUAAAUAUGCAGAGCUGUUCCUCAAUAAAUGGGCAUUUUCUCCGA